Molecule: ribosomal RNA, 253 nt
Filed under: uncultured bacterium
Lineage: Bacteria
Description: partial 16S ribosomal RNA
Rfam family: Bacterial small subunit ribosomal RNA
Source: RNAcentral
UACGUAGGGGGCAAGCGUUGUCCGGAAUCAUUGGGCGUAAAGCGCGUGUAGGCGGUCCGGUAAGUCCGCUGUGAAAGCCCACGGCUCAACCGUGGAGGGUCAUUGGAAACUGGGGAACUUGAGAGCAGAAGAGGAAAGUGGAAUUCCACGUGUAGCGGUGAAAUGCGUAGAGAUGUGGAGGAACACCAGUGGCGAAGGCGACUUUCUGGUCUGUAACUGACACUGAGGCGCGAAAGCGUGGGGAGCGAACAGG